GUUACAUUCUCCAGAGAAUAUGCAAGCCCUGCUCUCUGUUCUUCACAUUGUCCUCUUUGAAUCAGCUCUGAUCAGCUGGUCUGGAUCUUGACUGGGUUCUGGACAGCAAUUUCUGCAUAUUUUAGGCCCAUCCAUUUCAUGUGAGAAGUGUGGACUAGAUACUCAGAGAGGCGCUCUUUCAUUCUUCAAGUUCAUGAAGCUCUCAGCCAUGGACCAUCAUCAUUUACAGUUCAUCUGUAUCCUCUCAAAGAGCACUGCCACUUGAACAUUGACUAAAAACUUCUACUCCCAGUUAAUUGAGAUACAAGGACUUCUUUGAAGUUGCUGUUGACCCCUUCUACUCCUACUUCCAGAGGUGUAGAGCAGCCAAGCAACUGUAAAAGAAGAUGAAAAUUUGAGCUUAUAACUUUUUGCCACAAUAGAUGAGAGGGUACAUGAAGUAUCUCCUGACUAUGCCCUCAUUUGUGAUGUUCAAUGAAUAUGGAUUAGCAAUUAACCAUGGCUACACUCAAAGG
This 515-nucleotide long non-coding RNA is filed under the name Equus caballus (horse). RNAcentral describes it as "lncRNA (ENSECAG00000057257.1)". The record is from RNAcentral. Lineage: Eukaryota; Metazoa; Chordata; Mammalia; Perissodactyla; Equidae.